Molecule: ribosomal RNA, 443 nt
Filed under: grassland soil clone sl2_510
Lineage: Bacteria
Description: bacterial SSU rRNA
Rfam family: Bacterial small subunit ribosomal RNA
Source: RNAcentral
AACACAUGCAAGUCGAGCGGAAAGGCCCUUCGGGGUACUCGAGCGGCGAACGGGUGAGUAACACGUGAGUAAUCUGCCCUUCACUCUGGGAUAACGUUCAGAAAUGGAUGCUAAUACCGGAUGUACACAUGGUCUCGCAUGGGGUUGUGUGGAAAGGUUUUUCUGGUGGGGGAUGUGCUCGCGGCCUAUCAGCUUGUUGGUGGGGUAAUGGCCUACCAAGGCUUUGACGGGUAGCCGGCCUGAGAGGGUGACCGGCCACACUGGGACUGAGACACGGCCCAGACUCCUACGGGAGGCAGCAGUGGGGAAUAUUGGACAAUGGGCGGAAGCCUGAUCCAGCAACGCCGCGUGAGGGAUGACGGCCUUCGGGUUGUAAACCUCUUUCACCAUUGACGAAGCUGCAUCUUUUUGGGUGUGGUGACGGUAGGUGGGGAAGAAGCACC